CUUAUGCACACUGGUGCAUAGCCUAACUCGGGGCUUGAACCCAUGAGCCAUGAGAUCAUGACCUGAGCUGAAUUCAAGAGCCGGAUGCUUAACCAACUGAGCCACCCAGGCGUCCUGUUGUUAAUCGUUAAGUGCGAUCUGUGGCCAGGAUGUUCCAUCUUCCCAAAACUUGGCUCUUCCCUUGGCUACAGGAGAUCUUGGCCGGCAUACGUAGCCUUGCUUUCCACCACGUCUGCAGUGCUGUCGUUGGACUUUACUGGGGACAACCAUAUCACACUUUCACAGAAAGCCCCUUUUUCGUUGUGACACGAAGCAAAACAUUUACUCCUGAUCUUCAGGCAUCUGCAAACAGUUUGCCCACAGGAAUGAGCUCCAGUUGCCCUCUGUGGCUAAGGCUUAAGAACAUAGCGCUCAGAACUCUCAGCACCUGGGGGGCUCAGCCGGUUAAGCGUCAGACCUCAGCCCAGGUCAUGAUCUCGCAGUUGGUGAGUUCAAGCCCCGAGUCAGGCUCUGUGCUGACAGCUCGGAGCCUGGAGACUGCUUUGGACUCUGUGUCUCCCUCUCCUUGCUCAGUGGCACUGAGACUCUGGAGAUGGACUGCCUGGCUCCUCCACUUUCUAGCUGUGUGGCCAUGGACAAGUUACUUAGCCUCUCUGUGCCUCCGUGUCCUCAUCUAUAAAGUAGGGAUGAUACUGGUGCUUCCUCACAGUGCUGUGUGCUCUAAAGGAUGUAGUCUGUGAAAGCUCUCUGGGC
This is a long non-coding RNA of Acinonyx jubatus (cheetah), 753 nucleotides long. RefSeq lists it as uncharacterized. Lineage: Eukaryota; Metazoa; Chordata; Mammalia; Carnivora; Felidae. The transcript is spliced from 3 exons. The record is from RefSeq and is a predicted model, not a curated record.